Long non-coding RNA from Hydractinia symbiolongicarpus, 387 nucleotides. RefSeq lists it as uncharacterized. The record is from RefSeq and is a predicted model, not a curated record. The transcript is spliced from 3 exons. NCBI's taxonomy places the organism in Eukaryota, Metazoa, Cnidaria, Hydrozoa, Anthoathecata, Hydractiniidae.
UUUUUAAAUAAUAAAAAUGCCAAUUGAACAGGAUGAGAUGUUUCCUGAAGGAGCGAGUUCUUCAACAUGGGAAACUGAAGAGAUACCAAGUGGCAGUGUAAAUCCAUUAGAUGUCGCCCAUGGAAAUGCUGUACAUGCAGAUUUCAAUAAUGCCUUUGAUGACUUGUUCGACGAUGACGAUUUGCAAUGAAGCUCUUAACCUGUUUACAUAGGACGGUUUAUGUGCUUGAAACCAACACCGGCUAUGCGACGUAUUUGCAUCCCAACUUUUUAUCUGUAUCAUAUUUUUAAUGUUCCUCCCUUUGUAUUUCGGUUACAGCUAAGUGAACAGCUUAACAAUUAACUUUUGUAGUUUUGUUUGCGAAAUAGAUAUAUUGGUCUUUAGAA